GACGAACCGUGCGAACGUUGUUCGGAUUCACUGGGCUUAAAGGGCGCGUAGGCGGACGGUCAAGUCAGGGGUGAAAUCUUUCAGCUCAACUGGAAAGUGCCUUUGAUACUGAUCGUCUCGAGGGAGGUAGGGGCAUGUGGAACUUCCGGUGGAGCGGUGAAAUGCGUAGAUAUCGGAAGGAACGCCGGUGGCGAAAGCGACGUGCUGGACCUCUUCUGACGCUGAGGCGCGAAAGCUAGGGGAGCAAACGGG
RNAcentral lists this ribosomal RNA (252 nucleotides) under uncultured bacterium. RNAcentral describes it as "partial 16S ribosomal RNA". It matches the Rfam family "Bacterial small subunit ribosomal RNA", at positions 524 to 776 of the family's 1533-position model. The record is from RNAcentral.